This 326-nucleotide ribosomal RNA is filed under the name uncultured eukaryote. Its description in RNAcentral is "partial 18S ribosomal RNA". It matches the Rfam family "Eukaryotic small subunit ribosomal RNA", at positions 1470 to 1796 of the family's 1831-position model. The record is from RNAcentral.
CCCUUAGAUGUUCUGGGCCGCACGCGCGCUACACUGAUGCAUUCAACGAGCCUAUCCUUGACCGACAGGUCCGGGUAAUCUUUGAAUCUGCAUCGUGACGGGGAUAGAUUAUUGCAAUUAUUAAUCUUCAACGAGGAAUGCCUAGUAGACGCAAGUCAUCAGCUUGCAUUGAUUACGUCCCUGCCCUUUGUACACACCGCCCGUCGCUCCUACCGAUUGAAUGAUCCGAUGAAUAUCAUGGAUUGAGGAUGCAAGUAGGUUAGCCUAUCUUCAUCUUCGAGAAGUGAAGUAAAUCUUAUCAUUUAGAGGAAGGAGAAGUCGUAACA